This 130-nucleotide microRNA precursor is filed under the name Canis lupus familiaris (dog). Its description in RNAcentral is "miRNA (ENSCAFG00000057288.1, ENSCAFG00845025955.1)". Lineage: Eukaryota; Metazoa; Chordata; Mammalia; Carnivora; Canidae. The record is from RNAcentral.
GUGGAAAAAUCUCUGGAGUCAGAGGCCUGGGCACAGCUCUGGACUCUGCGUAUAACAGUGAGUGUCAGGUCCAGGGUAGGGUGGGACAGAAGAGGGGGUGAAGGUCCGAGGCCUGGCUGACCAGACCCAC